GGGAGGCAGCAGUGAGGAAUUUUGGACAAUGGGCGCAAGCCUGAUCCAGCAAUGCCGCGUGAGUGAAGAAGGCCUUCGGGUUGUAAAGCUCUUUUGUCAGGGAAGAAACGGGUCUUUCUAAUACAGAGAUCUAAUGACGGUACCUGAAGAAUAAGCACCGGCUAACUACGUGCCAGCAGCCGCGGUAAUACGUAGGGUGCAAGCGUUAAUCGGAAUUACUGGGCGUAAAGCGUGCGCAGGCGGUUUUGUAAGACUGUCGUGAAAUCCCCGGGCUCAACCUGGGAAUGGCGAUGGUGACUGCAAGGCUAGAGUUUGGCAGAGGGGGGUAGAAUUCCACGUGUAGCAGUGAAAUGCGUAGAUAUGUGGAGGAACACCGAUGGCGAAGGCAGCCCCCUGGGUCAAAACUGACGCUCAUGCACGAAAGCGUGGGGAGCAAACAGGAUUAGAUACCCUGGUAGUCU
Molecule: ribosomal RNA, 461 nt
Filed under: uncultured bacterium
Lineage: Bacteria
Description: bacterial SSU rRNA
Rfam family: Bacterial small subunit ribosomal RNA
Source: RNAcentral